Molecule: long non-coding RNA, 9429 nt
Filed under: Limulus polyphemus (Atlantic horseshoe crab)
Lineage: Eukaryota; Metazoa; Arthropoda; Merostomata; Xiphosura; Limulidae
Description: uncharacterized LOC111088509
Source: RNAcentral
UUCAACAGCAGUCAAAUAAGAAAUGAUUCAUACAACAACAGUCAACUCCCUGUUCAACAGCAGUCAAAUAAGAAAUGAUUCAUACAACAACAGUCAACUCCCUGUUUAACAGCAGUCAAAUAAGAAAUGAUUCAUAUCACUGCAGUCAAUUCCUGUUCAACAGGAGUCAAAUAAGAAAUGAUUUAUACAGUAACAGUCAACUCCCUGUUCAAAAGCAGUCAAGUAAGAAAUGAUUCAUACAGAAACAGUCAACUCCCUGUUCAAAAGCAGUCAAGUAAGAAAUGAUUCAUACAACAACAGUCAACUCCCUGUUUAACAGCAGUCAAAUAAGAAAUGAUUCAUAUCACUGCAGUCAAUCCCUGUUCAACAGGAGCCAAAUAAGAAAUGAUUCAUACAACAAGCAUCAAUUCCCUGUUCAACAGCAGUCAAACAAGAAAUGAUUCAUACGACUACAGUCAAUUCCCUAUUCAACAGCAGUCAAAUAAGAAAUUAUUCUUAUGACUACAGUCAACUCUUUGUUUAACAGCAAUCAAAUAAGAAACAACUCAUAACACUGUAGUGAAACAAGAAAUGAUUCAUAUGACUACAGUCAAUUCCCUGUUCAACAGCAGUCAAACAACAAAAUGAUUCAUACAACAACAGUCAAUUCCCUGUUCAACAGCAGUCAAACAAGAAAUGGUUCAUACGAUUACAGUCAAUUCCCUGUUCAACAGCAGUCAAACAAGAAAUGGUUCAUACGUCUACAGUCAACUCCCUGUUCAAUAGCAGUCAAAUAAAAAAUGAUUCAUACGACUACAGUGAAUUCCCUGUUCAACAGCAGUCAAACAAGAAAUGGUUCAUACGUCUACAGUCAACUCCCUGUUCAAUAGCAGACAAAUAAAAAAUGAUUCAUAUGACUACAGUCAAUUCCCUGUUCAACAGCAGUCAAAUAUGAAAUGAUUUAUAUGACUACAGUCAACUCUCUGUUUAACAGCAGUCAAACAAGAAAUGGUUCAUAUGUCUACAGUCAACUCCCUGUUCAAUAGCAGACAAAUAAAAAAUGAUUCAUACGACUACAGUCAAUUCCCUGUUCAACAGCAGUCAAAUAUGAAAUGAUUUAUAUGACUACAGUCAAUUCCCUGUUCAACAGCAGUCAAAUAUGAAAUGAUUCAUAUGACUACAGUCAAUUCCCUGUUCAACACCAGUCAAAUAUGAAAUGAUUUAUAUGACUACAGUCAAUUCCCUAUUCAACAGCAGUCAAAUAUGAAAUGAUUUAUAUGACUACAGUCAACUCCCUGUUCAACAGCAGCCAAAUAAAAAAUGAUUCAUACGACUACAGUCAAUUCCCUGUUCAACAGCAGUCAAAUAUGAAAUGGUUCAUACGACUACAGUCAAUUCCCUGUUCAACAGCAGUCAAAUAUGAAAUGGUUCAUACGACUACAGUCAACUCCCUGUUCAACAGCAGUCCAACAACAAAAUAAUUCAUAUGACUACAGUCAACUCUGUUUAACAGCAGUCAAAUAAGAAACAACUCAUAACACUGUAAUCAAUCCCUGUUCAAGAGCAGUCAAACAAGAAAUGAGUCAUAUAACUACAGUCAAUUCCCUGUUCAAUAGCAGUCAAAUAAGAAAUGAUUCAUACCUCUGCAAUCAACUUCCUAUUAAUAAUAGUCAAAUAAGAAAUGAUUCAUAUGACUACAGGCAACUUUCUGUCAAAUAAUUAUGUUUGUGGUAUUAUAGAAAUGAUCCAACUUAUUUUAUUUUAUUAAAACUAUGUCAUCAGUAAAAUAUAUUGUAUCUUCCACACUACAUCAGCUCAGGAGGUCCACAUGAAGACUUUCUGAACCCUUACAGUUUUUUAGCUUAUUGUAAACUUGCAUUGGAAAAAGAAUUAUGCUCAUCAGUGCAAUAAUCAUUUCAUUGUGAGGAUCAAACAAGAGAUUAACUACAGGUUACAGUUUUUAUGUUAUCCACAAAAAUAGUUAUCUUAAUAAGGUCAAAGUCAGCAUUCAAAUAACAUAGUUAAUGUUACAAAAGUGAUUAAUUCUUUGCCAUCAGUGUACAAAUAAAAUGAUGUACACCACUUACCAAGAGAUUGAUCCAUGUAAAAUAAUUUUCUUGUUGGCAGUCAAGUAAGAAACAACUUUCAUUACUUUGGUAAAUAAGCUCUACGUGAAGUUCACACCACUUUCAGCAGUAAAGACACGGCUUAGGGUCCAGAUUGCCCAGUGUUGACAGUACGUCGUUUACAGCAUCAUACCACUGUCAGCAGUAAAGACACAGCUUAAGGUCCUGAUUGCCCAGUGUUGACAGUACGUCAUUUACAGCAUCAUACCACUGUCAGCAGUAAAGACACAGCUUAGGGUCCUGAUUGCCCAGUGUUGACAGUACGUCAUUUACAGCAUCAUACCACUUUCAGCAGUAUAGACACGGCUUAGGGUCCAGAUUGCCCAGUGUUGACAGUUCGUCAUUUACAGCAUCAUACCACUUUCAGCAGUAUAGACACGGCUUAGGGUCCAGAUUGCCCAGUGUUGACAGUUCGUCAUUUACAGCAUCAUACCACUGUCAGCAGUAAAGACACAGCUUAGGGUCCUGAUUGCCCAGUGUUGACAGUUCGUCAUUUACAGCAUCAUACCACUGUCAGCAGUAAAGACACAGCUUAGGGUCCAGAUUGCCCAGUAUUGACAGUACAUCAAUUACAGCAUCAUGCCACUGUCAGCAGUAAAGACACAGUUUAGGGUCCUGGUUGCCCAGUGUUGAAAGUAUGUCAUUUACAGCAUCACAUCACUUUCAGCAGUAAAGACACAGCUUUGGGUCCAGAUUGCCCAGUGUUGACAAGUAAAUAAGACAUCGUUUAUAGCAUUGAACUUGAUAAGCUGAACACCUGCAGUUGGAUAGUAACUCAGCUCCAAACAAAUUGAAAAAAAAAGAUUAGCAAAUUCAGUAAUUCAUGUUUUUGUAAGCAGUUAUAGGAGAAGAAAUCUAAUCCACUGUAGUCCAUCAAAUCCAAUCAGCUUCUGUGAAACAGGUGUCAAAUAAGUGAAGAUCAAAGUUGCUGCAGUAUGAGAGCUGUGUUAUUAAAACCAGUAAAUGUAUAUAUUAUAAGCUCUCCUACAGGUCAUCAGGUGUGGGUUAAUAAUCACAAAGCAAGUUGACUAAACCACCACCACCAGCUUAUUGAACCCAGGAUAUCAACAAAAUGUAAAUUAUCUAUACCACUGUUAUUUGUCAGUUGAGCAUCAUAUGUUGAAUAAAAAAAAAAUUACCAUUCUGACUGAUGAGAACUUGAUCAACAGUGAAAUAAAAAUCUGAACAGUUAAUCAGCUCGAAGUCAACAUUAAUAAAUGUGAACCUUACCACUAAGUAACUGACCAUCAUCUUACCAGUAUUCUAGAAAGGUUUUAACAUGACUGAAACAGGUUUAUAAAAUACAUGUUGAUAGUCAAAAAUUAAAUUACUUGUACCAUUAUGGUUAGACAAACACUUCAUAGGACCAGUUGAAAAAGGAAAUGAUUUAAACCCCUUGAGUUGAUGAGCUUCGGUUUACCAAGAAAUACUGACCUCACUGCUUCUAGUGGAUGAUCAAUACCACUGCAGUUGAUAAGUUCUUUCUCUUUAACAGAAAAUGAAAUGAUACUGUUUGAACAACUCGGGUCUCUGUUGUCAGUCAAGUAGGAUAUUAUCUUCAGCAGAUAAAUCAGGUGUUAUUAACAUCAAUCUUUGAAUAGCUCAGAUUCCUGUUGUUCAUCAGGUAGCAUCAGAUGUUAUUAACACCAAUCUUUGAACAGCUCAGAUUCCUGUUGUCCAUCAAGCAGGAAUUAUCUUCAGCAGGAUCAGGUGUUAUUAACACCAACCUUUGAAUGGCUCAGAUUCCUGUUGUCCACCAAGCACUAAUACACUAAUACAGUUGAUUAGUUCCAUGUCAGCAGCAAAGAAAGAAAUCAUCCAGACUACUGUAGGUGAUUAUAUCAUCCUAGUAGUCCAUCCACACCAUCAGUUCCAUGAUGGCUGUGAGGUAGUAAAUUAUUCGCACUAAUACAGUUGAUUAGUUCCAUGUCAGCAGCAAAGAAAGAAAUCAUCCAGACUUCUGUAGGUGAUUAUAUCAUCCUAGUAGCUCACCCACACCAUCAGUUCCAUGAUGGCUGUGAGGUAGUAAAUUACUCGCACUAAUACAGUUGAUUAGUUCCAUGUCAGCAGCAAAGAAAGAAAUCAUCCAGACUACUGUAGGUGAUUAUAUCAUCCUAGUAGCUCAUCCACACCACCAGUUCUAUGAUGGCUGUGAGAUAGUAAGUUACUCACACUAAUACAGUUAAUAGUUCCUUGUCAGCGGCAAAGAAAGAAAUCGUCCAGACUACUGUAGGUGAUUAUAUCAUCCCAGCAACUCACCCACACCACCAGUUCUAUGAUGGCUGUGAGAUAGUAAGUUACUCACACUAAUACAGUUAAUAGUUCCUUGUCAGCAGCAAAGAAAGAAAUCAUCCAGACUACUGUAGGUGAUUAUAUCAUCCCAGCAACUCACCUACACCACCAGUUUCAUGACAGCUGUGAGGUAGUAAGUUACUCACAGUUGAUCAAUUCCAUGUCAAAAGUUAAAAAUGACAUAUGAUGCACAUCAAUUUAGUGGAUCAAGUUGAUGACAGUAGUCAAAAAAGAAAUUAUUCUAACAAUGAGUGGUUUUAACUGCUCCAUUGUAGCUAUGAAAUUUGAGUGUCUUACUGUACCGUAUUGACCUACACCAAUAACUGGUGAAGAUCUCCCAUACUAGUGUUGGUCAUCUGCAUGAAUAAAACAAUUUUGUGAAUCAGUCGAUACAUUUUUUAACUUAAAAUAUGUCUUCUCAUCUCACUUAGUUCAUGAGAAGGGAUGCUUAAACUUAUGGUUUCUUGGAAGCUUGAUUCAGUGCAGCAAACACUUCUUUUUUCCCUGGUCAUGAAAAUUAACUUCUUAAAGAGGUCAUUUUGGAAGAAGGGAUCACCAAAUGAUUUGCUGAUUUCGUAAAGCUGUAUUCUCUUUGUUACCAACAAAAACAAUUGCGUGAGACACCUGAAGAGUCUUAGGUAUAUCAUGAUUACAUUUAAAUGAAGAAAAAAUACAAAAGCUCUUCUUAUGAUCAGCAUUAACUGAAGAGCAACAUGGUAUCAAAUAAAUGCUAAAGACCCCAAGGCUUCAGCUAUUACAUAUGGUCAUGAAUGAUUUAUCUGUGACUGCACAAUGAAUGUCUCUCUCUCUCUCUCUCCUUACUUUUCUGUUUUGUUACAAAAACAAAACAAUUUGAGAGUUUACAGCAGCUAAAAAAAACUCAGUUCUUAUUGUGCUGGAUAUCAAGCACAGCCAGUUUAGAUACAAAGCUUAACAAACUUCUGAUGACAUUGAAAUACUAUAGCAUACUGAAAUGCACAUUGGAGUGAAUUAUGCCAAUUCUUCACUACUGAAAUCGAGAUUUUUAUGAUAAUGUACAAAUUUCAAGUUUCUUCAUAUCCCAUAAUCAAGUUAUAUGCUUAUCUCUUCCAGGAAGUUUGUUAAACACAGAAAAACUUUGUACCAGCCUGUGACAUUGUUGUUUAUAACAUUAUGAUUCAAGAUUAACCAGAAACUAGAAAUAUAUGAUACUUAAAAUUCUACAUUACGAUUUGUGAAUGCUGUUCCCAGAUUGACAGAGACUAGAUUUUACUGUGUGAAUUCUAGGCACUAUUUUGCUUUCCUGCAUACCAGUAACUAAAAAACAAGUAUCAUCAUUUCUGAUUUAGUAUUUCCUGUCUAUAAAUUAGUUACUACAAUUUCUAUCAAGGCCUUCAAAAUCAGUUUAUGUCUUCUUAGAUAGUGCUUCUAAGAAAAGUUGCAAACAUCAUAUUUUCAUUUAUACUUAAACUCAAUUAAUACAUUGAGAUCCAGUUCUCCAGAAGACUUCUUAUACACUUAACAUGAACUAGUGAACAGCCGUACUUUUGUGUCCGUGAAGUGAGCAUGUGAAAUGAACAACAGACUGGUGUGACAAUGACUGAAGAACAAAAAGAUAUUGUCCAACUACUGAAAACUAACUUCUCUGUUAAUUCACAGUGUUUCUUCGACAAAGGAUCUGCUGUGGAUUAGAUAGUUUCAAAAUUUGGAGAGCCUGGAAAAUAGUAAAUCUGGAGCCCUACUCAUCAGAAGUAAAAAUAGACUCUUCAGUCAAUAUCAGAGAACUGAAAUUGAUCACUUACAAUAAUUAGACAUCUGGUUACAACAGUUUGAGACAUCCUGUUUAACACUAAGGUUAGACUGUGUUAUUUUUUGGUAAAUAAUUGAACUUCUGAGUAGAUCUCUCAGUCCUAAUUGUAGGUUAUACAGCUUUAGUGUGUAUCUGUAAGAGACAGAAAUGAAGAAAGUUCAUAUCAAACAAAUAUGGAGCUAGUCUGCUAUGAUAUUUAACAUUCAUUACUAGUGUAAUGGAAUGAUUAAACAGUUUCUCUGCUAUAAGAGAAAAACAUUAAGUCAAAAUAUAUGAAAUAUAUUGUGAAAAAAAAAUUCUAGUAAUUUAGUCACUACUAAAACUGAUGUAUUUUCAUGAAUAGCAGUGAUGGACAUCAAAAUUUGUGUUUGUUGUCUUACUUUACCAAGCAGUGAAGAUAAGUACAGAAGUUACUGCUGCUAUUGAGUUUUUACAAUAAGCUAUAGUGAUUAAAACCACCAUAAAAUUGAACUAGUUGUGUACUGCAAUCCUCAAGCUGAAGAGAUCAACACUCAAGUGGCCUGAGUCUACUUUUUACAAUAAGCUAUAAUGAUUAAAACCACCAUAAAAUAGUCUUAGCUGUCUGUAUAUGUUCAAUCUCAAGCUGAAGUGAUGAAUGCUCAAGUGACCUGAGUUUACUUUCUACAACAAGCUACAGUGACUACAACCACCAUAAAAUAGUCUUAGCUGUGUAUUUCCAUCACUAAGCUGAGAUCAGUACUCAAGUGAUCUGAGUUUACUUUCUACAACAAGCUACAGUGACUACAACCACCAUAAAAUAGUCUUAGCUGUGUAUUUCCAUCACUAAGCUGAGAUCAGUACUCAAGUGAUCUGAGUCUACUUUCUACAACAAGCUACAGUGACUACAAGUACCAUAAAAUAGUCUUAGCUGUGUAUUUCCAUCUCUAAGCUGAGAUCAGUACUCGAGUGAUCUGAAUCUACUUUAUACAAGCUACAGUGACUACAACCACCAUAAAAUAGUCUUAGCUGUGUAUUUCCAUCUCUAAGCUGAGAUCAGUACUCAAGUGACCCGAGUUUACUUUCUACAACAAGCUACAGUGACUACAACCACCAUAAAAUAGUCUUAGCUGUGUAUUUCCUUCCUUAAGCUGAGAAGAUCAAUACUCAAGUGAUCUGAGUUUACUUUCUACAACAAGCUACAGUGACUACAACCACCAUAAAAUAGUAUUAGCUGUAUAUUUCCUUCCUUAAGCUGAGAAGAUCAGGACUCAAGUGACGUGAGUCUACUUUCUACAACAAGCUACAGUGACCACAACCACCAUAACAUAGUCUUAGCUGUGUAUUUCCAUCCUUAAACUGACAUCAAUACUCAAGUGACCCGAGUUUACUUUCUACAAGCGACCACAUAACAUAGUCUUAGCUGUGUAUUUCCGCUGAGAAGAUCAGGACUCAAGUGAGUGAGUCUACUUUCUACAACAAGCUACAGUGACCACAACCACCAUAACAUAGUCUUAGCUGUGUAUUUCCAUCCUUAAACUGACAUCAGUACUCAAGUGACCUGAUUCUACUUUCUACAACAAGCAAUAGUGACUACAAUAACUACAAAUGUCUGAACUAUGUACGUUCAACCUCAAGCUGAAGAGAUCAACACAAAAUAACAUCUUUGCUGUUCACUUUAUAUAUAUAAAACAAUAACUACAACCAGAGAUUACACAAAAUAAUUUUGGUUGACUCUCAUUCCAGAAAUGAAGUGAUCUGAACAUAUUAAUGCCUUUGCUAUUGUAUUUUUAAAACAAACUACAGUACUUAGAAAUAUGAUAAUCUUGGCUGUUGACUUUCUGAAACAAGCUUUAAUGACAACCACAAAAAAAAACUCAUCCCAGCUGACACAAAAUCGAGCAGUAGUGAUCAACAUUAAAGAAAACCUUUGAGGUUGAUCUCCUACACCAAAGUUAUGAUCAUUAUAAAGUAGUCUCUUCUCUGUCCAGCAGAAAUUGUUACUACAAAGUACUUUUGGUACUGACUCGUUUUUUUUUUCCCCCAAACUGAAGGACACCAUAGGAAAAUCAACAAUGCAAUUGGCUUUUUAUUGUGAUCACCAUAAGGUAUCUGUUUUGGCUGUUAGCACCAAAUAAUACACAUCAUCAUAAAAAAAAAGGAUCUUCACUGUCUGCUUUUGACACCAAAGUGUAUUAAUGCAACAUAAAAACUGGCACUGUGGACUUUAUUAACAUGCUUAGUGAUUUGUUCAAGAUGUUUUUAUUGUUCAUUUCCUAUACUGUGAGGAAGUGACAGCAUAACUGUGUUAGUAUUCUCAACCAGGCUUUACUUACUCAAAAUAUAUUGUUGACUUAAUAUGUUACCAUACCAAAAAAUCAUUAUUGCUGUUGACUCUUCACAUAAAGCAUUUAUAGUCACCACAAAAUAACUUCAGUGACUCCAAGCUAAACAGUAAUCACACUUAACUGCAUUUGUAUAAGGUUAUUUUUAAUAAUGUACCAUUUUGAAAUUACAUGUUGUUUUGGCAUUAUAUAGUACAUGAAAGUUAUUGAGUGUCAGUUCACAGGAAUAUCACUCAACGUUUCAUUCCAUUUUUGUUUAGUGAUGAAUAUAAAACUGACAAUGUAAAGUUUCUUAGUUUGUGAUUUUGAAAAUAUGGAAAUUAUCAUCUCUGUGCAAGAAAUACAGAAGCAACAUUUUGUUAUUCAUUUACUAUUAGUUAAUCCUUGAUUUAUUUCAAGCUACCAGGUAGAUAUUGUUUUUUAAAGAAGGUUAACAUUGAUAACCUCCAAUUUUUCUAUGUUAAUGAUUUUUUCUUCUAAUUACUGGAUAUAUUAAAGGUGUCUGUCUUUAUUCAUUGGAUAGUUUAUCAAAGCUUGGUAAUUACUAAAUAUCACCUUUUGUUCAUUUUUUUGCCAUAAUGUUGUCUCUUUUUGUCAAUGAUAUUUUAUGAGUUGUGAAUUAUCAGCCUAGUUAAUAGAAAUGUAUUUGUACAUUUCUGGUUUAAAAGGGCUGAAUCAAAAAGAAUGAACAUUAACAGAAAGGGAUGUAUAUUGUGUAUACUUUUUUGUAGUGUUGUGUACAGAUUUUGAGACAAGCCUGACAGGAAGUUCUUAAUGGAUUUUAAAAGAAAUUUAAUGAAUGUACAUUAGUAGAAACUCGUAUAUCUUGUGAAUGUUUACUUAGUGUUGUGUACUAAUUUUAAGACAAGGUUAAAUAUGGAAUCUAAUUUGUUUGUGACAUGUAAGUUAGUGAGAAUUAAUAAAAAAAUUUAUAAAGGUA